UACGUAGGGUGCGAGCGUUAUUCGGAAUUACUGGGCGUAAAGCGUGCGCAGGCGGUUUGCUAAGACAGAUGUGAAAUCCCCGGGCUUAACCUGGGAACUGCAUUUGUGACUGGCAAGCUAGAGUAUGGCAGAGGGGGGUAGAAUUCCACGUGUAGCAGUGAAAUGCGUAGAGAUGUGGAGGAAUACCGAUGGCGAAGGCAGCCCCCUGGGCCAAUACUGACGCUCAUGCGCGAAAGCGUGGGGAGCAAACGGG
This 253-nucleotide ribosomal RNA is filed under the name uncultured bacterium. Its description in RNAcentral is "partial 16S ribosomal RNA". It matches the Rfam family "Bacterial small subunit ribosomal RNA", at positions 524 to 776 of the family's 1533-position model. The record is from RNAcentral.